This 1141-nucleotide long non-coding RNA is filed under the name Oreochromis niloticus (Nile tilapia). RNAcentral's name for it is "lncRNA (ENSONIG00000036264.1)". Lineage: Eukaryota; Metazoa; Chordata; Actinopteri; Cichliformes; Cichlidae. The record is from RNAcentral.
AGGCUGUGAUGAUCCACUUGGUAAAGUAAUUCCACUGGGUAUCUUUGUUAGCCUUCAGACAACAAUUCUGACGGCUAAAGAACCAAACAGGACAGGCAAAAAAAAAAAAAAACCCAACAACAAACAAACAAAAAAUCAAACAAUUUUGAUACCUUCUUCUUAAUAUUACAGUUUUAUGUUUGCUGAGGUGUUUUCAUGAUGUUUUAUUUAUUCUUGAUCUAAAGUAAUAGUAUGAAAACGUCCUCCACCACUUGUCACUAUCAGCUAAGGAUAAAUAUUGUUGCUAAUAAGCAGGUAUUCAUUUAACUAUAGAAGUAAGAAUAUUAUACAAUUCUUUUGUGAGGUGAAGGUGAAGACCUCCAUUUAGAGAGCAGACAGGCAGUACUAACAGUCUUUCAGUCAGAUCCAGUUUUUUGAUAAAUUGCAAAAUAGUGAAGGAAGAUGUUUACUUUUGUGAGUGUAUUGGGGGCGGGCAUUGUCACAGUUUUCCUUUCCAUAGAAGUCACCACACAUAACAGCUGUGAUGUUGGUUUGUGGACACCUCUCUGGGUAUUUCCUUGGUGCUCUUUCCUGAACUUGGUGUUUGUGACUGAUGCUCAUCGUCUCCAUGCGAAGGAGUGGACACUACCCACAGUGGAAAAGUAUUGGUAGAGUGACCAGGGCUUCUAACACCCUUACCCUCAUCUCCUCUUAAGGUAAUGUCAGUAAGUUAUUUGUCUACCCCUCACCCUCAGUAACUCUUGCUUCCUCCCAUGGGGGUGGGGAUUCACUGUUCUCCUGCACUGCACCCCAGUUCCUUGUUCACAUUCCAGGAAUGUUUUCUAUUUGUAUCCUACGCCCUAUCAACAACCGCCAUAUUAUAAUAUUGCAAGCAAUCACAAACUAUAGUCUCUUUAACUCUAAUGUAUAUUAAGUACUCUAUUAUCCUCAACAAUGGCCAAUAUUACAUGUAUUAUUAUAUUAGUUAUUAUUAUUUAUUACAACAGUGAACUUUGUUUCAAAUACUGAGCUUCAGUAAAGACUCAAGUUGCAUUUAUUUAUAUUUCCUAUCACUUUAUAUCUUCACUCAAAGACAAAUAUCUUUUAAAGUGUGUGUAUAUAUAGAGACAAAUAUUGUUCUUUUAGUCUGUUAGCAUUACUU